This 469-nucleotide ribosomal RNA is filed under the name uncultured bacterium. RNAcentral describes it as "partial 16S ribosomal RNA". It matches the Rfam family "Bacterial small subunit ribosomal RNA", at positions 28 to 507 of the family's 1533-position model. The record is from RNAcentral.
GACGAACGCUGGCGGCGUGCUUAACACAUGCAAGUCGAACGGUGAAGCGAGUGCUUGCACUCGUGGAUCAGUGGCGAACGGGUGAGUAACACGUGAGUAACCUGCCCAUCACUCUGGGAUAAGCACUGGAAACGGUGUCUAAUACUGGAUACGACCAACCCUUGCAUGGGGUGUUGGUGGAAAGAUUUAUCGGUGAUGGAUGGACUCGCGGCCUAUCAGCUUGUUGGCGGGGUAAUGGCCCACCAAGGCGACGACGGGUAGCCGGCCUGAGAGGGUGACCGGCCACACUGGGACUGAGACACGGCCCAGACUCCUACGGGAGGCAGCAGUGGGGAAUAUUGCACAAUGGGCGGAAGCCUGAUGCAGCGACGCCGCGUGAGGGAUGACGGCCUUCGGGUUGUAAACCUCUUUCAGCAGGGAAGAAGCGAAAGUGACGGUACCUGCAGAAGGAGCACCGGCUAACUACGUG